GGGCGUGUAGCUCAGCGGGAGAGCACUACGUUGACAUCGUAGGGGUCACAGGUUCAAUCCCUGUCACGCCCA
Rhizobium freirei PRF 81 is the source of this 72-nucleotide non-coding RNA. NCBI's taxonomy places the organism in Bacteria, Pseudomonadati, Pseudomonadota, Alphaproteobacteria, Hyphomicrobiales, Rhizobiaceae. The record is from Rfam.